This 437-nucleotide RNase MRP RNA is filed under the name Alternaria alternata. RNAcentral describes it as "RNase MRP". It matches the Rfam family "RNase MRP". Rfam says of the family: RNase MRP is an enzymatically active ribonucleoprotein with two distinct roles in eukaryotes. In mitochondria it plays a direct role in the initiation of mitochondrial DNA replication. Lineage: Eukaryota; Fungi; Ascomycota; Dothideomycetes; Pleosporales; Pleosporaceae. RNAcentral also lists the same sequence under 1 other name. The record is from Rfam by way of RNAcentral.
UCCUCGCUCAAAGAAUCGCAACGAAGCACACGCACGGAGCGCCUCUCGAGGUGUCUCUUUUCGCGCUUUGGGAGAAAGUCCCCGGACAACGAUCUUCGCGAUCGCACUUUCAGCAAUGAACCGCCAUAGAAGCCGCGGCUUCCAUUACCGACUACGACACUUUCCGCGUCUCUUUACCCGUUCGCACUCCUUUUCGUCGGCUAUCUGGAGGCUGUGAGUGGAGGGGCUGGCACCUGGAUGACGAUAUGAGUCCGUUGGCUACCUUGCUCACUUGCUGAAGAGCGCCUGGCAAUCUGGAGGAGGAGGGAGACAUCGGGGAGGGCCAGGUAUGGAGGGUCUUUUCGUCCAGUUUGAUGGUUAUGCGAUUGCCUUCCUGCACUUUGAUAAAACAAGGUGACAUGGAUGGUAACUCAAUGGGGCUUAUUCUUGAUGCGAGG